CUUCACCGACCCCAGCCACAACGGACGCCCCGCAUCCCGCCCCUGCCCAUACGCCGCCAGCAACGCCUGCGCCUC
Molecule: non-coding RNA, 75 nt
Organism: Streptomyces sp.
Lineage: Bacteria; Bacillati; Actinomycetota; Actinomycetes; Kitasatosporales; Streptomycetaceae
Rfam family: ASpks TB sRNA
Source: Rfam